GUAUCCAAGUAAAUCUUGAAUGGUUAAUGAUGCUUGGUUACCUUGAUAUUAAUAAAAAAACAAAUUAUUCCCAAUGUACAAAAUAUUCAAAUUUUUGAUUUUGAUACCUUUAUUAUUUGUGAAUAUAAUUCGUACAUGUGCAAAUAUUUAAGUUUAACAGCAAACAAAUCUUCUUUGUAA
Long non-coding RNA from Xenia sp. Carnegie-2017, 180 nucleotides. RefSeq lists it as uncharacterized. The transcript is spliced from 2 exons. The record is from RefSeq and is a predicted model, not a curated record. Lineage: Eukaryota; Metazoa; Cnidaria; Anthozoa; Malacalcyonacea; Xeniidae.